RNAcentral lists this ribosomal RNA (518 nucleotides) under uncultured bacterium. RNAcentral describes it as "partial 16S ribosomal RNA". It matches the Rfam family "Bacterial small subunit ribosomal RNA", at positions 28 to 523 of the family's 1533-position model. The record is from RNAcentral.
GACGAACGCUGGCGGCGUGCUUAACACAUGCAAGUCGAACGGAGAAUUUAUUUCGGUAAAUUCUUAGUGGCGAACGGGUGAGUAACGCGUGGGCAACCUGCCCUUCAGAUGGGGACAACAUCCCGAAAGGGGUGCUAAUACCGAAUACGAUCACGCUGCCGCAUGGCGGUGUGAUGAAAGAUGGCCUCUCUUUAUAAGCUAUCGCUGAAGGAUGGGCCGGCGUCUGAUUAGCUAGUUGGUGGGGUAACGGCCUACCAAGGCGAUGAUCAGUAGCCGGUCUGAGAGGAUGAACGGCCACAUUGGGAUUGAGACACGGCCCAAACUCCUACGGGAGGCAGCAGUGGGGAAUAUUCCGCAAUGGACGAAAGUCUGACGGAGCAACGCCGCGUGAGUGAUGAAGGUUUUCGGACUGUAAAACUCUGUUGUUUAGGACGAAAGUGCCUGUUGCAAAUAGUUGCAGGUAUUGACGGUACUGAACGAGGAAGCCACGGCUAACUACGUGCCAGCCGCCGCCGUAA